RNAcentral lists this unclassified non-coding RNA (342 nucleotides) under soil metagenome. Its description in RNAcentral is "partial contains 5.8S ribosomal RNA, internal transcribed spacer 2, and large subunit ribosomal RNA". The stretch from base 1 to 120 matches the Rfam family "5.8S ribosomal RNA", at positions 35 to 154 of the family's 154-position model. The record is from RNAcentral.
GAUGAAGAACGCAGCGAAAUGCGAUAAGUAGUGUGAAUUGCAGAAUUCAGUGAAUCAUCGAAUCUUUGAACGCACAUUGCGCCCUUUGGUAUUCCAAAGGGCAUGCCUGUUCGAGCGUCAUUUGUACCCUCAAGCUUUGCGUGGUGUUGAGCGUCUUGUCUCUAGCUUUGCUGGAGACUCGCCUUAAAGUAAUUGGCAGCCGGCCUACUGGUUUCGGAGCGCAGCACAAGUCGCACUCUCUAUCAGCAAAGGUCUAGCAUCCAUUAAGCCUUUUUUUUCAACUUUUGACCUCGGAUCAGGUAGGGAUACCCGCUGAACUUAAGCAUAUCAAUAAGCGGAGAA